UGGGGUGUGGCUCAGUGGUAGAGCACUUGCCUAGUGUGUAUGAGUCCCUGGAUUCCAUCUCUAGCACCCUCU
This 72-nucleotide transfer RNA is filed under the name Ictidomys tridecemlineatus (thirteen-lined ground squirrel). Its description in RNAcentral is "Spermophilus tridecemlineatus (thirteen-lined ground squirrel) tRNA". It matches the Rfam family "tRNA". Rfam says of the family: Transfer RNA (tRNA) molecules are approximately 80 nucleotides in length. The record is from Rfam by way of RNAcentral. Lineage: Eukaryota; Metazoa; Chordata; Mammalia; Rodentia; Sciuridae.